Molecule: ribosomal RNA, 248 nt
Filed under: uncultured Bacteroides sp.
Lineage: Bacteria; Pseudomonadati; Bacteroidota; Bacteroidia; Bacteroidales; Bacteroidaceae
Description: partial 16S ribosomal RNA
Rfam family: Bacterial small subunit ribosomal RNA
Source: RNAcentral
UACGGAGGAUCCGAGCGUUAUCCGGAUUUAUUGGGUUUAAAGGGAGCGUAGGUGGUUAAUUAAGUCAGCGGUGAAAGUUUGCGGCUCAACCGUAAAAUUGCAGUUGAUACUGGGUGUCUUGAGUACAGUAGAGGCAGGCGGAAUUCGUGGUGUAGCGGUGAAAUGCUUAGAUAUCACGAAGAACUCCGAUUGCGAAGGCAGCUUGCUGGACUGUAACUGACGCUGAUGCUCGAAAGUGUGGGUAUCAA